AUGUUUUAAAACCCGGGUCAAAUUAAAAACCCACCCUUUUAUAUUCCUAAACCCAAUUUCCAUCAGUUUUCACCCAUUUGCAAUUCCUUCGACAUCGAGCCCUAAAAUCUUCCACCAGUGACUCCCAUUUGCGAUUUCCUCUCUUCACUGUCGAUCAUCUCCUUUUCGUCGUCAACUUAUCUUCGUCAUUAGAGGUGGAGGCUUGCUUUCAUCUUCGGCAGCAGCUCAUCUUCGUCGUCAGGAAUCUGUGAUCUGGAAGUUUGGAUUUUGAAAUUUUUUUGGCUGACAUCAUCAUGCUGAUGUCACCAAGAUGACAUCACCAGUUGAAUCGGUCAACCCAAGACUCGACCAGUUUGCCAUGUUUCGCCCCGAGUUGGUUUUUAAGACAUUGGUUACAAGGACCUAGGGCCUUCGCUAGGCCAGGUCACCAAUUCAACUAUUCACAAAAACCCUAAAAAUCAAAGGCGGCGAUUGGCGAGUAGAUGUUGGGGGUUUUGGAGAGGAAGUGUCGGCGAGUUGAAAGGUGGCUACGGAGGUGAUUUUGGGCGAGUGAAACGACUGGAAAAUGCAAAAGUCAUGCAACACAACUACGUGUUGUCGACGAUUAGCGGAGCUAGGGGGGUGAGAUGGGUUUUGGUCAGGAGGUUGAGGGGAGUGUUUUUGUGGUGAUGAGGAGUGUUGUUGACACUCGAAAAAGACCCUAUCUGCCCUUGGUUGUUGAUGCCGAUUGUGAUUUUUUUUGCUGCAAAAUGGUUCAAUUUCGGUCAGAUCUUGGGCAUAUUUGUUGGGGAAUGGCUCAAAGGAUGAGUAAGAUUUGCAUUCGGUGUGUCGCCACCACCAACUAGUUGACUACCGAUUUGCAUUUGGAGUGUGUUUGCUAGAUUUUAAACCUAUAAGAUUGCUAUGUGAUUUUUUUAAGGGUGUGUUUGCUGGAUUUCAAAACUUCUAGACAUGUUAUGUCACGGAUUUGACUCGCCAGUCAAACCGGUUCAACUGAUCAACCUGGGACCCAACUACUUUGUCUGGUUUCACCUCGAGUUCGGUAUUAAAACGCUAGUUAAAUCAAAGCAAAUAUAUAUAACUUUGAAAAAGAGGCUUUGAGAAAAAAUAAUAACAAUAAUGUAUACCAUGAUAGAGACUUCACGUAGGGUUAAAGUCAUAGCACAAACAAGCCGCCUCGUGAAUUUACUAAGAAAGUGACCAAUCCUGCCAUUGUAGCGUAGAGAAAAUAAGUCUAUAUGCACAUCAUUCAAAUGGGGGAAAAUUUUCGCUAAAAUAUAGUCAUCUGCUAUUAAAUCUUGUAACGUACGCAAGGGAGAACUUAUAAUGUCAACUCCACAAUAUUCUAAGAGCAGAUAUUCAAAAUUUGGCCAUUUGGGCAUGUGCAUAUUAGAUGGAAAAAGUUAUAAGGCAAAAUUAUUCUGGAUGGAUUCAUCCUCUUCAACUUUGGGAAACAAAAGAAUUUUUGGAUUUCCAUUUAUUUUAGUAUUUUGUUUUAUGUUAUUUUCGUUUUAUUUUAGGUUUUCUAUCCGCAUAAAAUAGUCAAUUUCUUAUGUUAUAAGGAUUAUGAUUUCAAGCCUGCCUGUAUAUAGGCAUUAGAUUUCUUAUUUUAUUAGGAAUAAAUACUUCAUGGAUGCUGCACAAAAAUAUUGUUGCGAAGAAUCAUCACAGUUUUCGUGGCU
This is a long non-coding RNA of Pistacia vera, 1682 nucleotides long. RefSeq lists it as uncharacterized. The transcript is spliced from 4 exons. NCBI's taxonomy places the organism in Eukaryota, Viridiplantae, Streptophyta, Magnoliopsida, Sapindales, Anacardiaceae. The record is from RefSeq and is a predicted model, not a curated record.